This 512-nucleotide ribosomal RNA is filed under the name uncultured bacterium. Its description in RNAcentral is "bacterial SSU rRNA". It matches the Rfam family "Bacterial small subunit ribosomal RNA", at positions 555 to 1071 of the family's 1533-position model. The record is from RNAcentral.
UGGGUUUAAAGGGAGCGUAGGCUGGAGAUUAAGUGUGUUGUGAAGUGUAGACGCUCAACGUCUGACUUGCAGCGCAUACUGGUUUCCUUGAGUACGCACAACGUUGGCGGAAUUCGUCGUGUAGCGGUGAAAUGCUUAGAUAUGACGAAGAACUCCGAUUGCGAAGGCAGCUGACGGGAGUGCAACUGACGCUGAAGCUCGAAGGUGCGGGUAUCGAACAGGAUUAGAUACCCUGGUAGUCCGCACAGUAAACGAUGGAUGCCCGCUGUUGGUACCUGGUAUCAGCGGCUAAGCGAAAGCAUUAAGCAUCCCACCUGGGGAGUACGCCGGCAACGGUGAAACUCAAAGGAAUUGACGGGGGCCCGCACAAGCGGAGGAACAUGUGGUUUAAUUCGAUGAUACGCGAGGAACCUUACCCGGGCUUGAAUUGCAGAGGAAGGAUUUAGAGAUAAUGACGCCCUUCGGGGUCUCUGUGAAGGUGCUGCAUGGUUGUCGUCAGCUCGUGUCGUGAG